This 30-nucleotide non-coding RNA is filed under the name Mus musculus (house mouse). The record is from RNAcentral. Lineage: Eukaryota; Metazoa; Chordata; Mammalia; Rodentia; Muridae.
ACCNGUUUCCAGAUGUCCACAGCAAGCCUA